GACUCCUUGCAGGGAGCCUGAUGUAGGACUCGAUCCUGGAACCCCAGGAUCACGCCCUGAGCCAAAGGUGGCACUAAACCGCUGAGCCACCCGGGCUGCCUGAGAUGCUCCAUCUAAUGCAAAUCUAGUCAGCAUAGUUUUAUAAGAUAGCUAUAAAAACAAAAAUCACUAGCUUUCAUCAAAACUGUCAUUAGAAACUAUUAGGAAGAAAAUUCAUUUCAUAUUAGCAAUAAAAUAUACUUAGACUUUUGCUUCUAGGAAAUAUAUGGGGGGAAACUAUGGGGAAAAUAAAAAUUUAAGGGAAAACUAUAAAUUUUAGAGAGAGACAUAAAAGGAGACCUAUGUAAAGCAGAAAAUACCAUAUGCCAGAAAGGAAGACAUCAGUUUUCCACAAAUCAUAUAUUUAACAAAUAUAAAUCAAAUCCUCCUAAGAUUUUUUGAGAGGAAACUUGAUUCUAUAUGCUAUUAAUAAUAAUAAUCAUGGACAAAGACCCCAGAGGUUUCUGAAAAGAAUAAAGGUGGGUUUGCAUUACUAGGUAUUAAAAUUCAUUUUAAAGUUAGUCUAGUUAAAAGUGUAUUGUUUCUGCAAAAAGAAGUCAAUAAAGCCUAACAAAGUUCAGAAAUGAAAGCAAGUAUAAAAGGAUUUAGUAUGUGGUAAAGUGGCAUUACAAAUACACUGAUACAUCUGAUACAUUCCAUCUAUGUCAUCAGAAUAUACUCCAAUAUAAAAAAGGAAAUAGAAGUAGAAAAAAAAUACAGACAUAAUCCCAAUUAGAAGUCCUAAACAUCACAUGAAAAGAAAUCAUUAGAGGAAUAGACUGACAAAUUGUUUCAUGAAGGUUCAGAGACAAGUAACAAGAAUGGAGAAAGCUACAGCAUACCACAAAUAUUGUUAUUCUUAACAUACAAAAGCUGUUAAAAAUUAACAAGAAAACAGACCACACCCUAAUAAGGACUUCAACAUUAACAAUAUAAACUAUCAACUAACAAAAUCUAGUAUAUCUAAUGUGCAUACAAAAUACCUAACUACACCAGUAACUAAAAAAAUGAAAAUUGUUUUAAUUUUUAUUUUUUUAAAAAUAUUUUAUUUAUUUAUUCAUGAGAGACACAGAGAGAGAGAGAGGCAGAGAUACAGACAGAGGGAGAAGCAAACUCCAUGCAGGGAGCCUGAUGUGGGACUCGAUCCCGGGUCUUCAGGAUCACGCCCUGGGCUGAAGGCAGGUGCUAAACCGCUGAGCCACCCAGGGAUUCCCCUGUUUUAAUUUUUAUAUAAUCUGUUUCUACAUUUUGUAUUGGGGGAAAGAUUAGAGUGAAAAGACCACUAUUUUGGGUAGACUCUUGUAUAAUGCUAGAAGAAACAUAAAUUGGACAGUCUAUUUAUUGGACAGUCAUUUUAUUUUUUUUAGAUUUUAUUUAUUUAUUCAUAGACACACAGAGAGAGGCAGAGACACAGGCAGAGGAAGAAGCAGGCUCCCUGCAUGGUUUACAGUUCUCAGCCUUAAACACAGCCUCAUGGUCCUGCGGUCAGCACUGCCCUCCACGUCCAGAACUUCCUCCCGCCUGGACUCUGCACCCAGCGCACACAGAUCCCCACCCCACCUCGCCACUGAUGCCGUUCUCCUUUCUCGGUGAACCUGUCACUCUACGUACUCUGUAUGAGUGCAAUCGUACCCUAUUUGUUUGUGACUGGCUUAUUUCACUUAACAUAAGGUCAUCAAGGUUCAUGUUGUUGCAUAUGUGACAAUUUCCUUUCCUUUCAAGGCUGAAUAAAAUUCCUUUGUAGGUACGGACAAUAUCUACAUAGAGCUCUGCUGAGGGACACGUGGGCUGCUUCCACCUUCUGGCCACUGGGAAUAACGCUGCUGUGAAAAUGAAUAUACUGAUAUCUGUUCCAGACCCUGCUUUCAGUUCUUUUGGGUAAAUACCCAGAUGAGAAAUUGCUGGAUCAUAUGCUAAUUCUAUGUUUAAUUUUUUGAGGAAAUGCCAUUUCGUUUUCCACCUAGGACACACCAUUUUAUAUUCCCACCAGCAAUGCACAAAGAUCCAAUUUCUCCACAUCCUCAUCAACACUUUUUGUUGUUUUUGAUAAUAGGCAUUCUAAUGGGUUUGAGGUGCUAUCUCAUUAUGAUUUUGAUUUGCAUUUCUCUGAUGAGUGAUGUUUCAUGUUUGAAAAGAUGCUCAUUAGCCAUCUGCAUAUCUUCUUUGCAGAAAUGUUUAAGUCCACUGCUCAUGUGUGAAUAAAGUUGUUUGUCUUUUUGUUAUGGAGUUUUAGGAGUUCUCUAAAAUUCUAGAUAUUAGCUCCUUAUCAGAUACAUUGUUAGCAAGUUUCUCCUAUUCUCUGGGUUGUUGCAUUUUUACUCUUGUGCUAGUGUCCUUUGGUACACAAGACUUUAAUUUUGAUGAAGUCCAAUUUAUUUUUUUCUUUUGUUAUCUCUGCUUUGGUGUCAUAUUGAAGAAAGCACUGCCAAAUCCAAUGUCAAGAAGAUUUCCCUCUAUGUUUUCUUCCAAGAAUUGUUUUAUAGUUUCAGCUCUUAUGUGUAGGUCUUUGAUCCAUUUUGAGUUAAUUUCACAUAUGGUAGAAGGUAAAUAUAUGACUUUAAAAAAACCCAUUCAUUAAGCUAUUUUCCAAUUCAUCAGCAUCUUCUCCAGAUAGAGCCAGCUCAACUAUCUGGCAAAUUUGGGACUUUUGAAAUCCCACAGAAAGUGAAGGACAAUACCAGACAUGUUUUCCUGGAAAAAUACCUUGCUGUUUUUACAUUCUGGACCUAUAAUCUGCAAGAACAGCAGCAAAGCAACAGCUUCAAGUCUAUUACCAAUCCUGUAUCAUUCAUAUUCUAGCCUAUUCUUUCUGACAUACUAGAUCCAGACUUUUUUAUUUUGAUUAUUACUAACAUGUCACAGCAAUAAAAGCUUAUUAUUAUUA
Long non-coding RNA from Canis lupus familiaris (dog), 2923 nucleotides. RefSeq lists it as uncharacterized. NCBI's taxonomy places the organism in Eukaryota, Metazoa, Chordata, Mammalia, Carnivora, Canidae. The transcript has 2 exons. The record is from RefSeq and is a predicted model, not a curated record.